This 69-nucleotide transfer RNA is filed under the name Cryptoprocta ferox (fossa). Its description in RNAcentral is "tRNA-Ala". It matches the Rfam family "tRNA". From Rfam's summary of the family: Transfer RNA (tRNA) molecules are approximately 80 nucleotides in length. The record is from RNAcentral. Lineage: Eukaryota; Metazoa; Chordata; Mammalia; Carnivora; Eupleridae.
GAGGACUUAGCUUAAUUAAAGCGUCUGAUUUGCAGUCAGUUGAUGUGAGAUAGGUUCUUGCAGUCUUUA